RNAcentral lists this ribosomal RNA (2502 nucleotides) under marine metagenome. RNAcentral describes it as "bacterial LSU rRNA". It matches the Rfam family "Bacterial large subunit ribosomal RNA", at positions 3 to 2442 of the family's 2925-position model. The record is from RNAcentral.
UCAAGUAAUUAAGAGCACAAGGCGGAUGCCUUGGCAGCUGAAGGCGAUGAAGGACGUAGUAACUUGCGAUAAGCUUCGGGGAGGUGGUAAACAACCUUUGAUCCGGAGAUUUCCGAAUGGGAGAACCCAGUGUGCAUAAGCACAUUAUCUUAUACUGAAUACAUAGGUAUAUGAGGCAAACCUAGGGAACUGAAACAUCUAAGUACCUAGAGGAAAAGAAAUCAAAAGAGAUUCCGGUAGUAGCGGCGAGCGAAACCGGACUAGCCCUUAAGCUUUUUUAAGAUUAGCAAAACAUACUGGAAAGUAUGGCCAUAGUAGGUGAUAGCCCUGUAUGCGAAAAUCUUUUGAAAGUGAAAUCGAGUAGGUCGGGACACGUGAAAUCUUGACUGAACAUGGGGGGACCAUCCUCCAAGGCUAAAUACUCUCAGCUGACCGAUAGUGAACCAGUACCGUGAGGGAAAGGCGAAAAGAACCCCGGCGAGGGGAGUGAAAUAGAACCUGAAACCUUGUGCUUACAAGCAGUCGGAGCAGACUUGUUCUGUGACGGCGUACCUUUUGUAUAAUGGGUCAACGACUUAAUUUCAGUAGCAAGCUUAACCAAUUAGGGUAGGCGCAGGGAAACCGAGUCUUAAUAGGGCGUUCAGUUGCUGGGAUUAGACCCGAAACCGGGUGAUCUAUCCAUGGCCAGUGUGAAGGUCGAGUAACAUCGACUGGAGGCGCGAACCCACUUAUGUUGAAAAAUGAGGGGAUGAGCUGUGGAUAGGAGUGAAAGGCUAAUCAAACCCGGAGAUAGCUGGUUCUCUUCGAAAACUAUUUAGGUAGUGCCUCGUGUAUUACUGUAGGGGGUAGAGCACUGUUUCGGCUAGGGGGUCAUCCCGACUUACCAAACCGAUGCAAACUCCGAAUACCUACGAGUAUGAGCACGGGAGACAGACUGCGGGUGCUAACGUCCGUAGUCGAGAGGGAAACAACCCAGACUGUCAGCUAAGGUCCCAAAUUAUGAUUAAGUGGGAAACAAUGUGGGAAGGCACAAACAGCUAGGAGGUUGGCUUAGAAGCAGCCAUCCUUUAAAGAAAGCGUAAUAGCUCACUAGUCGAGUCGGCCUGCGUGGAAGAUAUAACGGGGCUAAAUCAUAAACCGAAGCUACGGAUCUUAAAUUUAUUUAAGAUGGUAGAAGAGCGUUCUGUAAGCGGUUGAAGGCAUGCUGUAAGGCGUGCUGGACGUAUCAGAAGUGCGAAUGUUGACAUGAGUAACGAUCAAAGAGGUGAAAAACCUCUUCGCCGAAAAUCCAAGGUUUCCUGUCCAACGCUAAUCGAGGCAGGGUGAGUCGGCUCCUAAGGCGAGGGCGAAAGCCGUAGUCGAUGGAAAACAGGUUAAUAUUCCUGUACUUCUUAUAAUUGCGAUGGGGUGACGGAGAAGGUUAGGCUAGCACGGCGACGGUUGUCCGUGUUCAAGGUUGUAGGCUGGUGUUUUAGGUAAAUCCGGAACGCUAAGGCUGAGAACUGAUAACGACCACUCUAUGAGUGGGAAGUAGUCGAUACCAUGCUUCCAGGAAAAACCUCUAAGCUUCAGGUUAUAAGAAACCGUACCCUAAACCGACACAGGUGGUUAGGUCGAGUAGACCAAGGUGUUUGAGAGAACUAUGGUGAAGGAACUAGGCAAAAUAGCACCGUAACUUCGGGAGAAGGUGCGCCGCGGUUGGUGAUGAGACUUGCUCUCUAAGCUGAACGUGGUCGAAGAUACCAGGUGGCUGCGACUGUUUACUAAAAACAUAGCACUCUGCAAACUCGUAAGAGGAAGUAUAGGGUGUGACGCCUGCCCGGUGCCGGAAGGUUAAUUGAUGGGGUUAUCUUCGGAGAAGCUCUUGAUCGAAGCCCCGGUAAACGGCGGCCGUAACUAUAACGGUCCUAAGGUAGCGAAAUUCCUUGUCGGGUAAGUUCCGACCUGCACGAAUGGCGUAACGAUGGCCACACUGUCUCCACCCGAGACUCAGUGAAAUUGAAAUUGCGGUUAAGAUGCCGUAUACCCGCGGCUAGACGGAAAGACCCCGUGCACCUUUACUACAGCUUUGCACUGGACUUUGAUUUUAUCUGUGUAGGAUAGGUGGGAGACUUUGAAGCAGUCACGCUAGUGAUUGUGGAGUCGACCUUGAAAUACCACCCUGGGAGCAUCGGACAGGUCUCCUGCAGUGGCUUGUUUGGUUUAUCGGUCGCUACCAGUGCUCGAUAACAGGGAGCCUGAGAUGGAAUAUCCAUUUGCACGGUGUUUUCUACGCGUUCAGUUUCAGUGGAGUUGCUGGUCUUCAUAUUGAUAACAUGUUCGCUCUUGGUAUCAACCCCUGACUUGUCGUCUAGUUGUGAUGUGCUAGAUUCCACCAUUCCAAUAACUUCCUCCCCGUUAAAGAAUCGUUCAUCACAGGAUUGGCUCGCUUUUGUUGGAGAAUGGAAACUGGUGACGGGGGAAUCUUGAUCCUCGGAUCCCAAUGGCCAAACGCGGCCUUGC